ACAGCAGCCGCCGCGGGAAUACGUAGGGCGCAAGCGUUAUCCGGAAUUAUUGGGCGUAAAGAGCUCGUAGGCGGUUUGUCGCGUCUGCCGUGAAAGUCCGGGGCUCAACCCCGGAUCUGCGGUGGGUACGGGCAGACUAGAGUGAUGUAGGGGAGACUGGAAUUCCUGGUGUAGCGGUGAAAUGCGCAGAUAUCAGGAGGAACACCGAUGGCGAAGGCAGGUCUCUGGGCAUUAACUGACGCUGAGGAGCGAAAGCAUGGGGAGCGAACAGGAUUAGAUACCCGCGUAGUCCCUGUCUCUAUACA
RNAcentral lists this ribosomal RNA (305 nucleotides) under uncultured bacterium. Its description in RNAcentral is "partial 16S ribosomal RNA". It matches the Rfam family "Bacterial small subunit ribosomal RNA", at positions 508 to 808 of the family's 1533-position model. The record is from RNAcentral.